This 780-nucleotide ribosomal RNA is filed under the name Triticum aestivum (bread wheat). RNAcentral's name for it is "partial small subunit ribosomal RNA". Lineage: Eukaryota; Viridiplantae; Streptophyta; Magnoliopsida; Poales; Poaceae. The record is from RNAcentral.
AUGGCGUCGGCUCCAGCUCGAGCUAUUGCGGUGGUGGCUCUCGUGCUCGCGUGCUGUGGGCUGGCCAUGGCCGCGGACAACGCGCCGGUAUGGCUGAGGGCGCAUGCCACGUUCUACGGCGGCGCCGAUGCCUCUGACACCAUGGGUGGGGCGUGCGGGUACGGCAACCUGUACUCGGCGGGCUACGGCACACGGACGGCGGCGCUGAGCCAGGCGCUCUUCAACGACGGCGCGGCGUGCGGUCAGUGCUACAAGAUAUCUUGUGACCGCAAGCUUGCGGAUCCGAUGUUCUGCAAACCCGGCGUCACGGUGACAAUCACGGCCACGAACCUCUGCCCGCCUAACUAUGCACUCCCGAGCGACAAUGGAGGAUGGUGCAAUCCUCCGAGGCCGCACUUCGACAUGGCGCAGCCGGCCUGGGAGAAGAUUGGUGUGUACAAGGGUGGCAUCAUCCCUGUAAUCUACCAGAUGGUUCCAUGCGUGAAGAAAGGUGGGGUGAGGUUCAAGAUCGCUGGUCAUGAUUACUUCAACCUAGUUAACGUAUUCAACGUGGGAGCUGCUGGAUCAAUCAAAUCGAUGGAUGUCAAGACCUCUGAUUCAGACACAUGGGCGCCAAUGGCUCGUAACUGGGGCGCGAACUGGCAAUCUCUAGCAAAUCUUACCGGGAAGAUGCUCUCAUUCAGAUUGACCAACACAGAUGGGCAGACGCUUGUGUUCAACAAUAUUGUUCCAGCUGGAUGGACGUUUGGGCAAACAUUUGCGAGCAAAUUGCAAUUUUAA